GAAAUGCGAUAAGUAAUGUGAAUUGCAGAAUUCCGUGAAUCAUCGAAUCUUUGAACGCACAUUGCGCCCUCUGGUAUUCCGGGGGGCAUGCCUGUCCGAGCGUCAUUGCGAACCCCUCAAGCACGGCUUGUGUGAUGGGCCCUCCCGCGUCUUGGUCGUCAAGACGGGCCCGAAAUGCAGUGACGGCUUCGCGGUUAUCCGAUCAGCCAGAGCGUAUGGGGACUUUCUCUCUGUCACACGCCCGCGGCGCGGACCGACGCCUGUCGACCUUUAUUCAUCUUUUUCUCGGUUGACCUCGGAUCAGGUAGGGAUACCCGCUGAACUUAAGC
This 329-nucleotide unclassified non-coding RNA is filed under the name plant metagenome. RNAcentral describes it as "partial contains 5.8S ribosomal RNA, internal transcribed spacer 2, and large subunit ribosomal RNA". The stretch from base 1 to 105 matches the Rfam family "5.8S ribosomal RNA", at positions 50 to 154 of the family's 154-position model. The record is from RNAcentral.